GACAGAGGAUGCAAGCGUUAUCCGGAAUGAUUGGGCGUAAAGCGUCUGUAGGUGGCUUUUUAAGUCCGCCGUCAAAUCCCAGGGCUCAACCCUGGACAGGCGGUGGAAACUACCAAGCUGGAGUACGGUAGGGGCAGAGGGAAUUUCCGGUGGAGCGGUGAAAUGCGUAGAGAUCGGGAGGAACAUCUGUGGCGAAGGCGGCCAUCUGGACCAGCACUGACACUGAGGCACGAAAGCGUGGGGAGCAAACAGG
This 253-nucleotide ribosomal RNA is filed under the name uncultured bacterium. Its description in RNAcentral is "partial 16S ribosomal RNA". It matches the Rfam family "Bacterial small subunit ribosomal RNA", at positions 524 to 776 of the family's 1533-position model. The record is from RNAcentral.